RNAcentral lists this ribosomal RNA (263 nucleotides) under uncultured bacterium. RNAcentral's name for it is "partial 16S ribosomal RNA". It matches the Rfam family "Bacterial small subunit ribosomal RNA", at positions 793 to 1055 of the family's 1533-position model. The record is from RNAcentral.
GUCCAUGCCGUAAACGUUGGGAACUAGGUGUGGGUCUCAUUCCACGAGAUCCGUGCCGCAGCUAACGCAUUAAGUUCCCCGCCUGGGGAGUACGGCCGCAAGGCUAAAACUCAAAGGAAUUGACGGGGGCCCCGCACAAGCGGCGGAGCAUGCGGAUUAAUUCGAUGCAACGCGAAGAACCUUACCAAGGCUUGACAUAUACCGGAAACAUUCAGAGAUGGAUGCCCCGCAAGGUCGGUAUACAGGUGGUGCAUGGUUGUCGU